This 406-nucleotide ribosomal RNA is filed under the name uncultured bacterium. RNAcentral's name for it is "partial 16S ribosomal RNA". It matches the Rfam family "Bacterial small subunit ribosomal RNA", at positions 29 to 526 of the family's 1533-position model. The record is from RNAcentral.
AUUGAACGCUGGCGGCAGGCCUAACACAUGCAAGUCGAGCGGAGCGGCGGACGGGUGAGUAAUGCCUAGGAAUCUGACUGGUCGUGGGGGAUAACGUCCGGUAACGGGCGCUAAUACCGCAUACUAUUAGCUGAGCCUAGGUCGGAUUAGGUAGGUGGUGGGGUAAAGGCCUACCAAGGCGACGAUCCGUAACUGGGCUGGGUGGAUGAUCAGUCCAAAUUGAAAUGGGGCACGGCCCAGACCCAUACGGGAGGAAGAAGUGGGGAAAAUUGAGAAAUGGGGGAAACCUUGACCAGCCAAGGCGGGGGGGGUGAGGAAGGCUUCGGAAUGGAAAACACUUUAAGUUGGGGGGCCGUUCCAACAGAAUAAGCACCGGCUAACUUCGGGCCAGCGGCCGCGGUAAUUC